UCCCUAGUGGCUAAGAUGGUAAAGUGUCUGCCUGCAAUGCGGGUGACCAGGGUUUGAUCCCUGGGUUGGGAA
This is a non-coding RNA of Bos taurus (domestic cattle), 72 nucleotides long. The record is from Rfam. Lineage: Eukaryota; Metazoa; Chordata; Mammalia; Artiodactyla; Bovidae.